RNAcentral lists this ribosomal RNA (490 nucleotides) under uncultured bacterium. RNAcentral describes it as "partial 16S ribosomal RNA". It matches the Rfam family "Bacterial small subunit ribosomal RNA", at positions 30 to 507 of the family's 1533-position model. The record is from RNAcentral.
AUUGAACGCUGGCGGCAGGCCUAACACAUGCAAGUCGAACGGUAACAGGGAUCAGCUUGCUGAUUCGCUGACGAGUGGCGGACGGGUGAGUAAUGUCUGGGAAGCUGCCUGAUGGAGGGGGAUAACUACUGGAAACGGUAGCUAAUACCGCAUAACGUCGCAAGACCAAAGAGGGGGACCUUCGGGCCUCUUGCCAUCGGAUGUGCCCAGAUGGGAUUAGCUAGUAGGUGGGGUAACGGCUCACCUAGGCGACGAUCCCUAGCUGGUCUGAGAGGAUGACCAGCCACACUGGAACUGAGACACGGUCCAGACUCCUACGGGAGGCAGCAGUGGGGAAUAUUGCACAAUGGGCGCAAGCCUGAUGCAGCCAUGCCGCGUGUAUGAAGAAGGCCUUCGGGUUGUAAAGUACUUUCAGCGGGGAGGAAGGGAGUAAAGUUAAUACCUUUGCUCAUUGACGUUACCCGCAGAAGAAGCACCGGCUAACUCCGUG